Molecule: long non-coding RNA, 666 nt
Filed under: Medicago truncatula (barrel medic)
Lineage: Eukaryota; Viridiplantae; Streptophyta; Magnoliopsida; Fabales; Fabaceae
Description: long non-coding RNA (MTRU_LNC000415)
Source: RNAcentral
ACCACCACCACCUCCACCUCCACCUCCUCCAUUCUAUGCAUCUCCACCAUCACCACAACCAUAUCUUCCUUCAUCACAUGGAGCACCUCCACGACCACCACCACCUCCUCCUUCAAUGUCUAAGGCCGCACCAGCCCCACCACCACCACCAUCAUAUCUUCCUGCGUCAAGUGGAGCAGCUCAACCACCACCACCUUCAAUGUCCAAGGUCCCACCACCUCCACCUCCACCUCCACCGUUCUAUGCAUCUUCACCCUCACCACCACCAUAUCUUCCUACAUCACAUGGAGCACCUCCACCACCUCCUCCUUCAAUGUCUAAGGCCGCACCAGCCCCACCACCACCACCACCAUCAUAUCUUCCUGCAUCAAUUGGAGCACCUCCACCACCACCACCACCUCCUUCAAUGUCUAAGGCCCCACCACCCCCACCCCCACCAUUCUAUGGAGCUCCACCACCACCACCACCAUCAUAUCUUCCUGCAUCAAGUGGAGCACCUCUACCACCACCACCACCACCACCUCCUCCUUCAAUGCCACCCCCACCUCCACCAUUCCAUGGAGCUCCACCGCCACCUCCACUAUAUCUUCCUGCAUCAACUGGCGCACCUCCACCACCACCACCUCCUCCUUCAAUGUCUAAGGCACCACCCCCACCACCCCCACC